This is a long non-coding RNA of Malurus melanocephalus (red-backed fairy wren), 2564 nucleotides long. RefSeq lists it as uncharacterized. NCBI's taxonomy places the organism in Eukaryota, Metazoa, Chordata, Aves, Passeriformes, Maluridae. The record is from RefSeq and is a predicted model, not a curated record. The transcript is spliced from 4 exons.
UUCUAGGUAUUCUGGAGCUUUCAGUCUUCUGUAACACCAGGAAAUAUUCUGUAGAUUUGGUUUCAAAUGAAAUCUGAGCUUGCUCUGUCAUUGAGGGCAAAAGGCAGCYCCCUGGGAACACCAAGAUACCAUUGGAUUUGUGGGAAUCAUGGCUUGCUACGCCUGGCACAAGAGCAGCAGAGACUGGGGGCUUUAAGUCCAGCACCCACAGUAGCUACAAAUCUGCAGGUUUUAAGGGAAGUAGCACCAGAAGAAAGAAGUAGCUAAAAAAGGUUUCUGUUCCUGGGACACAUGUAUUCAAACUGCUGCUUGCAAGAAGGGUAUCUUCUUCAAGAAGGAUAUCACUAUCUUCUUCAAAAAGACUUUGAAGCAGAAAGACACCUUAUGUUCAGCCCCUCCAUUAAUGCUCUGGUUAAACAGGGAAAAAGAACAAGGAGAGGAGGAUAAAGGAGCACAGCCAAACUUUGUGAGAUUACUCAAGUGGUGUGAGAAGCUGUUCAAACAAAUUACUUAUUGAGGCUGAUAUAACAUGGCAGAUCUGUUAAGAAAAUUAUUGUUGUACAAAUAGAUUGUAUGAAAGGAUAAUGCUUUUGAAAAUACUUUUUUAGCAAGGCUUUGAAGCUCACAAACUGUUAGAGCACAACUGCAUGCUGGAAAUAGGAAAAGCAAACUGCUGACUGCCUGGAGUACUGAAGGUUGCACUGGAACUCACUGGAAAGUUUUUUAAUUUAUUUACUAGUAGGAACAAAGCAAUGGACAGAGUUCUGUUCAGCUUUCAACUGGGGAGGGAUAUUUUAUUUUUGAUGGACUCAGGGAAGGUAUCAUUUCUGUCACUAAAUCUCCAGUUUAAAUAUUUGGACUUGCUCCUUCUGCCUUUUCUCCAUGCUCCCAAGAGGACUGCAACCACCUUUCUCUGUUUCUAUGCUCUUGCUUGCCUUCACCCAUUAACAGGCACUUCUUACACAGCUCAGGAAGCACCAUGCUGUAUUACUCAAGGAAUACAGCCUUUCACAGCUGGUUCCUGAAUAGCAACCUGAAAACAAAUGAUAAAAAAAAAAAAAAAAAAAAAAAAAAAAAAAAAAAAAAAAAAAAAAAAAGGAAGAGGAGAAACAGCCUAGAAAAAAAAUUGCAGCAAAAAAGAAAAGAGCAGCUGUUGCCUUAAGAGUAUUUUUCUUCCCCAUAAGUGUAAUCAGAGCUGCAACUCUGUGUUCCCUGGCCGUCUCCAGACACCGGUAACUAAAGCCGGGCAUACAACCCUGCCAUUGGCUCUGCCAGGGGUGGCAGAGGACUAAGCAAGGGUCAAAAGUUUAUGAGAGGCUGUGGCUGUGCUGACACGUGGAGGGGAGCAUGUUUCCACAGCACACACGGCACUACAUGCGUUUGAAAGGUCACUGCAGCGGCAGGCUGAGCGCCAGCCCGGUGGGAAAGAUGCUGAGUGGGAGCAGCGCUGGAAGGSGAGAGCGGAAAAGUGGCGUGCAGGGAGACCAGAUGGGACUGCUGUGGGAAAGGAGCUGUGGGAGAGGGGAAGACAGGGAGGUGGAACAUGGAGAGCAGAGGCAAUAAUGGCAGAGGAGCAUCACAGGCUGGGCUGACAACAGACUGGUCUCACACUGGCAGAUGUCGCACCUGGCAGGGCUGAGCAGGAGACUCGGUUGUUCCCCCAAGACUGGGAAAAGAGGCGGCUGCAGCUUGAUAUUGGAUGGACUGAAUCCCAGUAUCUCACAUAGACAAGCAUCUGCCAAACCCUUCUUCCUCAUUUAAUUGCAGCCCUCCACAAAUGGGCCUAAUCCUACAAACAGUGACUGCAUUGGAAAGGAGCGGUCUUUUAGGUACUGGAAGAUCCUAUAAGGUGUCCCUACACCCUUCUCUUUUCCAGGCUGAACAACCCCAACUCUCAGCUGUCUCCAGAGGAGAGGUGCUGGAGCCCUCUGAUCACCUCUGUGGUCCUCCUCUGGACUUACUCCAGCAGGACCAAACUUUCCUGUGUUGGGAUUUCCAAAGCUGGACAGCACUCUACUCAGGGUCUCCUGGAGAAAAUGCAGGAGGACAUCAGAUGGAGGACAUCACCUUCCCUGACYUGCUGGCCACGCUGCUUUUGAGGGAGUGMAGGAUGUGGUUGGCUUUCUGCUCUAGAGCAAGGAUCAGAACCCACAACUGUUUCACAAGUUGACUGCCACAACUAAACCUGGGAUGUGAAUUUCCAUGGCCUGACUUAUACCUCCCGGAUCUCUAAGACAGGACAACAUUUUAAUGCURGUGGGGCACAUCAAACCCCACUCUAAAAUUGCUGGACAUGCAUGUGGUCAAAAUACAAGACUAGGAAGCAGAAGUGCUGUUAUUCUCCUCAGUUUCUCUCCUUUCAGAGUAACUUGCAAAAGCAGCCUGCCUUGAAGAUCUUUUACGAAGAUUCAACACUUCCUUUUCAUAAAGCAAUUUGAAAUCCUGUGCUCACAGAUACUAAUAAGCCCUCAUAUAUGAUAAUAUACUUGAUUUUAAACUCAUAAAUUCUCUAAUUUAUGCCUUUUCAGAACUCACAGCAACAUGAUUCAUUAGAAUAGUUAACA